AUGCGUGAGGAGUCGGAGGAGGCAGCAAUCAACCUGAACGUUACUCAGACACAAGAUGGGCUCACUACACAGCCACAGCGAAAAAGAACAGUUAAGCCAGGCAAGGCUGCACGGUCCCCUUUCGUUCUAGGCAAUUGGGUUAUUAGCACCCAGCCAAAAUAUAUCAAGCUCACAGCCGAGCAAAUCAGGGCGAACCUUUCGCAAGGGGGUGUGAUAGAGAAUGAUUUGAUGACAGUAGCAGUUAGAAGAUACCAGCAAAUUGACUAUAUUUUUGCAUUGGAUAAAGAUGAAGGGUGCUGGCGACAUUGGCUUGAGCCAGACUUUGUGAUAUUUGUUUAACAGAACCAUGUGAUCGUGAGGUAUGUCCAGGACAUGUUCAUCGGGGAACAUAUCAAGUAUGACGUGCACAGAUGCACAGAGGUAUUUCCUGAGAAAAAUAAAUUGUGA
Molecule: ribosomal RNA, 447 nt
Filed under: Triticum aestivum (bread wheat)
Lineage: Eukaryota; Viridiplantae; Streptophyta; Magnoliopsida; Poales; Poaceae
Description: partial small subunit ribosomal RNA
Source: RNAcentral